GAGAGAGAGAGAGAGAGAGAGAGAGAGAGAGAGAGAGAGAGAGAGAGAGAGAGUCUGAGCCCCUUGGUGUGUGAUUAUUUGCUGGAGUCUGCAAAUAUAUCAGGCCCAGCUGGGUGAUGAAGCAGGCUGAUGGAGUUGCUCUCAUCUUAGUACAUAGGACUUAGCAGUAGUUUCAAAGUGGGGCUCAGGGGCUCCUUAGCCUCUCCACCCCCAACUCUGUGUGGAUAGGAUUUAUUACGAUCAUGACUUGGUGUGAUAUGGGUCAGCACAGUGGAAGCCCUCUGUGUACAGGGCCCAGCACUUGUCUAAAGGACUGUGACUGACCCCACAGCCAGCAGAGAUGAGCCAGGUCUCAAGUUGCCAUGUCUUUAAAUUCCCCUGUGUUAGGCUCAGUGAAGUCCCACUUCACUAAGAUGAGUCUUCUGGCAGCCAGGGGACUUGAACACGGUUCUACGCAGGGGCUCAGUGACUUGUUUCUUAUUCUUCUGGUGUAAGUUUUUUUUUAUUCUAUUGGUGUAGAUGGGUCAGAUGACCUGGCCACAGUCUGGGGCCUCCAAAAAAACAUCCAUGUGCCUGUCUGGAGCCUAGGUGGAGGACAGAUUCGACAGCAGAGGCAUGAAGACCACUAGAAAAUCGUCUCUAAGGUCCUGAGGCAAGCCAUGUCGUCUACCAAGGAGGGAGCUAUCCCAGCAGCCAUUGCUUCCUCUUUCUUGGUUAGAAAGCUGUCUUCCUUCGUGAGGUUGGCCAACCAGGAGCACACACAGGCCCCAAGUGACACAGGUAUUUGUGCCACAACAGAAGAUGGUUAGAGAAGACUUUGCUGUUCCAAUGCCUACAGUGCUACAGCCAGCUAGGCAGAGAAACCACCAGCUGUGUCCGUUUCCCCACUGAUGGCCCGGGUACCACCAGCUGUGUCCGUUUCCCCACUGAUGGCCCGGGUACCACCAGAUGUGUCCGUUUCCCCAGGUGUUCACACUGUGCCCUUGGCAGGUUCUGUCUGGAAGAUGCUGCUGGGGUCUUUGGAAGUGUGAUGUGCCUCAUCUCUAAACAUCUUGGCUAAAAGAAUAAAACACGUGGACAAACGCAACCUGCGAAUCCAGAUGUGGCAUAUGGCAUCUGAAAUAUGUACUAUUUAAGGAACAAAAAAUAAUUGAGAAGUUUAACAAGUGGGUAAGCUAGGAUGCAGCACUUAUGGCAAAAGCAGUGAACUGUGUGGUCCUCACUUUGCUGGGAGCAUCCCGGAUACAAGCCCCUCCCAAAUCAAGACCGUCACACCAGCUUCCUUCUCAAAGCUACUAUUUAUUCUGUACAAGGCUCCACUGUACACUAGACAUUCUACUCUUGCUUACAUAGUAAACAAGUGUACACCAGCCCUUGGGCUCAUGUUCACAGGUCUUCCCUAGAGAAGGGUAUCAGGCCAGGUAAACUCAGGGUGUCUUUUCUUGGGUGCCCUGUCCUGGGACACUCAAGCACUCGAGGUUCUGAGGGCAUAAGCCAGGCCCACCUGUGGGGGGUGCAAAAUGCACUGUGCGAAAUGCCUUAGUGCUGAAUAGCUUGGCUCUUGGGACAGCAUGGAGUAUUUUUUUUUUUUUUUUUGUCUAACGUCAGGGCAAAGAAUCAUACAAGCUAACCCCAGCCAUCCAGGCUCACACUCCCAGGACAGGACCAAAGACUGAUGCCAAGAUGGGGUAAGGGGUGGUGUGGGUGUCCCUGAGAAGCUCAGUCCAGAGGGCCUUUGUCUAAGAGACUCUGGGAAAGGGACAGGUGGCAGGAAGCUUGGGGGAUAAGGGCAUCAAAAAGAGAAUAAAUUAAAGGGAGGGGGGAGUUGAGGGGCAAGGAGCCUGUGCUGUCCUUCAAACAGCUGGGGAGACCGGGGUGGGUGAGAGGGUGGUAGGAAGAGCUUGAUACACUAUCUUAAGAAUCACCAUUUACCCACUUCCCUCUUUUACUGCUGUGCACAACAAGCCAGGGGUUCAGGGCAGGACCCCGCAACCCCAAGUGGCUUUCAACAUGGCACGGGGAUAAAGGGAAGCAGCUGAGGGAGAUAUCUCAGGAAGGGGAAGUUAUCCCCUGGUCCCCAAAUGCUAUAAGGCACAAUUCUUGGAGGCAACUAGAUUCCAUUCAAAAUAUUAAAGGGGAAAAGAAAAAGCAACUUCAAAGCAGAGUAACUUUAGAUCCCAGGUCUACUGUGACGAUGCUUGGGCCCAGCCAACACUCACCCAGCACACGGGGACUAGCAUUAGGAAGGCUGUGUUUGGAGAAGAAAAAAA
This is a long non-coding RNA of Mus musculus (house mouse), 2270 nucleotides long. RefSeq annotates it as predicted gene, 38444. The record is from RefSeq and is a predicted model, not a curated record. Lineage: Eukaryota; Metazoa; Chordata; Mammalia; Rodentia; Muridae. The transcript is spliced from 2 exons.